Long non-coding RNA from Penaeus monodon (black tiger shrimp), 1201 nucleotides. RefSeq lists it as uncharacterized. Lineage: Eukaryota; Metazoa; Arthropoda; Malacostraca; Decapoda; Penaeidae. The record is from RefSeq and is a predicted model, not a curated record. The transcript is spliced from 2 exons.
CCAGUGACGCAUUUCGGCUCCAGCGGCGGAGGAGGCAGGCUGCGCAACGUGUCCUGCAAUCAACACUGUACACAUUAUUCAGAAAAAAAAUUAUCAUCCAUAGUGACUCAUAGGCAAUAGGAAUCGAAGAAGGAAUGGCGGAGAGCGAACGACGGCAUGCGAGUGAGAGGGAAAGACGGAGAAAGGGAGAAGAGAGAGAACACGUGGCGGGUGACGGUGCGGGGUGAAGCCAGCCGGACAGCCGGACACCCUGAGGGUUGCCAGAUGAACAUCUAUCACCUUUGUUAGAAACGGGUCCUCUUACCUGCCUUCCUGAUAGAUAAGUGUGGCUGACAUGUGGCAGGUGUUGCAAGGGUAGGAAAAUAUAUGCAACAUUUGCCCAUGUUGGGACAGGUAAAUCAGAAGAUCCUACUGUCAAUUUACAUUGGCGAGUUUCCUUAUAAUCUUACUCUUUACUUUAGCAUUCUUAAAAAUUGGAAAAAAAACAACAGUUAAGGUAGUUUGUAUGAAUAAAACGGUUUCUGUUGGUUGUUUCAUUUGUACGAAGGCUGUUGCAGCAGGUGUGUGAAUAAUCCCACGAGUCGGAGAAGGAAUGUUCUCGAUGUACCGUUUUCCCCCCAUGACGGGUGAGAGGAGGAUGCAUGUGAUGGCGUGGGCGAGCGUUCUCGAUGUUCCGUUUUCUUUCAUGCUGCGUGGAGGAGGGACUCGAAAGGAAAGGGGAUUGUUUGCUCUUUCAUGCAUUGCCGUGAGAGAUGAGCAGGUUGAUAUUGGAAAAGGGCAGUGACGACAUGAAGGGCAGUGAGGCUGUACCACAUUGGCCUAUUUGAAGGGCCGUGACGAUAUGAAGGGCAGCGAGGCUGUGCCAUAUUGGCCAGUAUGGAUUUAAGUGCUAUACAGGGGCAUUUGGUAUAGAUAAUUAUUGUUACUUUAUUAUGAUAGCCAUUCAUGAAAUCAUUGGCUUGAUUUUAACGGAAGAGGAAGAGUAAUACGGGAGAUUAAGAAGUAACCCAAUGGACUUGCAACAAAAUCUCGAUGGCUGAUCAGCCUUAAAUGGUUACGUUCGCAAAAAUUAUGCAAAAACCGCACUCAGGAUGAUUCGGAAAUUACUCUAUGCCGAAACUACAAGUAAUGGUGGUAUAUUCCUUAUUGUGACCACAAUUAGGUAUCUAAAAUAUCUAUAAAGAAUUGGAUAUCUAAAAAA